This 1182-nucleotide ribosomal RNA is filed under the name Salmonella enterica. RNAcentral describes it as "bacterial LSU rRNA". It matches the Rfam family "Bacterial large subunit ribosomal RNA", at positions 1 to 1215 of the family's 2925-position model. The record is from RNAcentral. Lineage: Bacteria; Pseudomonadati; Pseudomonadota; Gammaproteobacteria; Enterobacterales; Enterobacteriaceae.
GGGUUGUGAGGUUAAGCGACUAAGCGUACACGGUGGAUGCCCUGGCAGUCAGAGGCGAUGAAGGGCGUGCUAAUCUGCGAUAAGCGCCGGUAAGGUGAUAUGAACCGUUAUAACCGGCGAUACCCGAAUGGGGAAACCCAGUGUGAUUCGUCACACUAUCAUUACGUGAAUACAUAGCGUAAUGAAGCGAACCGGGGGAACUGAAACAUCUAAGUACCCCGAGGAAAAGAAAUCAACCGAGAUUCCCCCAGUAGCGGCGAGCGAACGGGGAGGAGCCCAGAGCCUGAAUCAGCAUGUGUGUUAGUGGAAGCGUCUGGAAAGGCGCGCGAUACAGGGUGACAGCCCCGUACACAAAAGCGCAUGUGUUGUGAGCUCGAUGAGUAGGGCGGGACACGUGGUAUCCUGUCUGAAUAUGGGGGGACCAUCCUCCAAGGCUAAAUACUCCUGACUGACCGAUAGUGAACCAGUACCGUGAGGGAAAGGCGAAAAGAACCCCGGCGAGGGGAGUGAAAAAGAACCUGAAACCGUGUACGUACAAGCAGUGGGAGCACCCUUUGGGGUGUGACUGCGUACCUUUUGUAUAAUGGGUCAGCGACUUAUAUUCUGUAGCAAGGUUAACCGAAUAGGGGAGCCGGAGGGAAACCGAGUCUUAAUUGGGCGUUAAGUUGCAGGGUAUAGACCCGAAACCCGGUGAUCUAGCCAUGGGCAGGUUGAAGGUUGGGUAACACUAACUGGAGGACCGAACCGACUAAUGUUGAAAAAUUAGCGGAUGACCUGUGGCUGGGGGUGAAAGGCCAAUCAAACCGGGAGAUAGCUGGUUCUCCCCGAAAGCUAUUUAGGUAGCGCCUCGUGAAUUCAUCUCCGGGGGUAGAGCACUGUUUCGGCUAGGGGGCCAUCCCGGCUUACCAACCCGAUGCAAACUGCGAAUACCGGAGAAUGUUAUCACGGGAGACACACGGCGGGUGCUAACGUCCGUCGUGAAGAGGGAAACAACCCAGACCGCCAGCUAAGGUCCCAAAGUCAUAGUUAAGUGGGAAACGAUGUGGGAAGGCCCAGACAGCCAGGAUGUUGGCUUAGAAGCAGCCAUCAUUUAAAGAAAGCGUAAUAGCUCACUGGUCGAGUCGGCCUGCGCGGAAGAUGUAACGGGGCUAAACCAUGCACCGAAGCUGCGGCAGCGACACU